CUGAUAAGAAUGGACCUUGGCCUAACUCAACCCCAAAAGUUAGCUUGUGAGGUGAGAGACCAAGGACCUCAAAUCCCUCUGAUGUGGGACAACUCAACACCUCCCCUCACGCCUAGGCCUUUGGAGCGUGGGCAACAUAAAUGGGACCCGACAUCGGUAACAAUAAUUGGGAUGAACCUGACUCUGAUACCAUGAUAAGAAUGGACUUUGGCCUAACUCAACCCCAAAAGCUAGCUUGUGAGAUGAGGAUUGCCCAAGCCAUAUAAGGAGACCGAGGACCUCAAAUCCCUCCGAUGUGGGACAACUCAACACCCCCCUCACACCCAGACUUUUGGAGCGUGGACAACAUAUAUGGGGGCCCAACAUCGGUACCAAUAAUUGGGAUGGGUCUGGCUCUGAUACCAUGAUAAGAAUGGACCUUUGGCCUAACUCAACCCCAAAAGCUAGCUUUUGAGGUUGUGAGAUGAGGAUUGCCCAAGCCAUAUAAGGAGACCGAGGACCUCAAAUCCCUCCGAUGUGGGACAACUCAACAAAUACCAUG
This 541-nucleotide long non-coding RNA is filed under the name Nicotiana benthamiana. RNAcentral's name for it is "long non-coding RNA (NBEN_LNC023389)". The record is from RNAcentral. Lineage: Eukaryota; Viridiplantae; Streptophyta; Magnoliopsida; Solanales; Solanaceae.